RNAcentral lists this ribosomal RNA (249 nucleotides) under uncultured soil bacterium. RNAcentral's name for it is "partial 16S ribosomal RNA". It matches the Rfam family "Bacterial small subunit ribosomal RNA", at positions 26 to 303 of the family's 1533-position model. The record is from RNAcentral.
AGAACGAACGCUGGCGGCAUGCCUAAUACAUGCAAGUCGAACGAACUCUUCGGAGUUAGUGGCGCACGGGUGCGUAACGCGUGGGAAUCUGCCCCUUGGUUCGGAAUAACAGUUGGAAACGACUGCUAAUACCGGAUGAUGACGAAAGUCCAAAGAUUUAUCGCCAAGGGAUGAGCCCGCGUAGGAUUAGCUAGUUGGUGAGGUAAAGGCUCACCGAAGGCAACGAUCCUUAGCUGUCUGAGAGGAUGA